Molecule: long non-coding RNA, 734 nt
Organism: Branchiostoma floridae (Florida lancelet)
Lineage: Eukaryota; Metazoa; Chordata; Leptocardii; Amphioxiformes; Branchiostomatidae
Exons: 5
Source: RefSeq, a predicted model, not a curated record
ACCUUUAUCACUGGUCUAACCAGUUCUUUGGCGUAACAUUAUCCCCGGAUGCUACUUCUUACAUACCAGGGCAUCUACGUUUACACUAACUGCUCGCGGAAUUUACAGAAGUCGUCGUGACAGAGAUGAGUCUGAACAUUCAGGUUGUCUGUGUGGUGGCGGUCAUCGUGGGACUGAUGUUCAGUGUCAAACUCAUCACCAUGGGGCUGGUGUAAACAGUUUUUAGGCAUAAAGGCAGCUCCGGGUCCUACUUCCUACAUACCAGGCCAUCUAAUUCUACACGGCUGCUCGCGGAAUUGACAGAGGAAACAACAACAAACACCGCAGCAGAAAGUAUGAAAAGUUUGAACAUAAACAACCAAGCCGUCUGCUGUAUUGCGGUACUUGUGGGACUGGUGUUCAGCUCGUUCCUCAUCACCAUGGGGCUGGUGUAAACAAAUCUAAGGGCAGCCGCAUGCCACGGUAGGAGCUUGCAGGAAGGAUGGACGGUAGCUACAGACAACGGGCCUGGGCUAUAGACACCAAACUCCAAGUCAUCACAUCCUCGGCGUCUUCACAGCGACACCUAUUGACUGCUGUCGGAGCUGCCUCGAUGGACGCUGACGUCAGAACUGUUUGUUGGACAUCGCCAUCGUCGUUGAUCCGUAGACACCUGCCAUCAGUUCUGCCAACCUACCAAUUGUUGCUCUCCUGUUUAUAGCAAACUUACUGUAAUUAUAUGUACUAUUCUGAAA